GACGAACGCUGGCGGCGUGCUUAACACAUGCAAGUCGAACGGAAAGGCCCUGCUUUUGUGGGGUGCUCGAGUGGCGAACGGGUGAGUAACACGUGAGUAACCUGCCCUUGACUUUGGGAUAACUUCAGGAAACUGGGGCUAAUACCGGAUAGGAGCUCCUGCUGCAUGGUGGGGGUUGGAAAGUUUCGGCGGUUGGGGAUGGACUCGCGGCUUAUCAGCUUGUUGGUGGGGUAGUGGCUUACCAAGGCUUUGACGGGUAGCCGGCCUGAGAGGGUGACCGGCCAAAUUGGGACUGAAAUACGGCCCAGACUCCUACGGGAGGCAGCAGUGGGGAAUAGUGCACAAUGGGCGGAAGCCUGAUGCAGCAACGCCGCGUGCGGGAUGACGGCCUUCGGGUUGUAAACCGCUUUCGCCUGUGACGAAGCGUGAGUGACGGUAAUGGGUAAAGAAGCACCGGCUAACUACGUG
Molecule: ribosomal RNA, 468 nt
Filed under: uncultured bacterium
Lineage: Bacteria
Description: partial 16S ribosomal RNA
Rfam family: Bacterial small subunit ribosomal RNA
Source: RNAcentral